This is a small nucleolar RNA of Drosophila elegans, 106 nucleotides long. RefSeq annotates it as small nucleolar RNA snoM1. The record is from RefSeq and is a predicted model, not a curated record. The transcript has a single exon. NCBI's taxonomy places the organism in Eukaryota, Metazoa, Arthropoda, Insecta, Diptera, Drosophilidae.
AAUUCAAUGAUUUCAACUUCACCGCUGACCAGCCAAGCCUUACAGCCUUCGAGUGUUUGCCCCUAUAUUAUUCUGUCCACCAGCCGGACCUCUUUCUGAUGAGCCA